RNAcentral lists this ribosomal RNA (516 nucleotides) under Pedioplanis haackei. RNAcentral describes it as "partial large subunit ribosomal RNA". It matches the Rfam family "Bacterial large subunit ribosomal RNA", at positions 1817 to 2597 of the family's 2925-position model. The record is from RNAcentral. Lineage: Eukaryota; Metazoa; Chordata; Lepidosauria; Squamata; Lacertidae.
AGCCUUUAGCCCAACAAGUAUUAAAGGUCCCACCUGCCCAGUGACUAUUUUAAACGGCCGCGGUAUCCUAACCGUGCAAAGGUAGCAUAAUCACUUGUCCCCUAAAUAGGGACUAGUAUGAAUGGUCAAAUGAGGACUAAACUGUCUCUUGCAUUUAACCAAUAAAACUGAUCUCUCAGUUAAAAAGCUGAGAUAUAAACAUAAGACGAGAAGACCCUGUGGAGCUUCAAACCAAGCCCAACCCUAAUGGGUGUUCGGUUUUUAGUUGGGGCGACUUCGGAGUACAAAAAAACCUCCGACACAACCAUAUCAAGACCAACACGUCAACAUAUGUUUUUACUGACCCGGUAUUUAAUAAAAUAUCCGAUCAAUGAACCAAGUUACCCCAGGGAUAACAGCGCUAUCCCCUUCUAGAGUCCUUAUCGACAAGGGGGUUUACGACCUCGAUGUUGGAUCAGGACACCCAAAUAGUGCAGCCGCUAUUAAAGGUUCGUUUGUUCAACGAUUAAUAGUCCU